This is an RNA transcript of Parus major (Great Tit), 4256 nucleotides long. RefSeq lists it as uncharacterized. NCBI's taxonomy places the organism in Eukaryota, Metazoa, Chordata, Aves, Passeriformes, Paridae. The record is from RefSeq and is a predicted model, not a curated record. The transcript is spliced from 9 exons.
GGAAACCUUUCACCCAUACCUUCCCUGGGGAGUGCAGAACAACCCCAUUGCCUUCAGAGGAGAAAGUGGACUCAAAAGUUGUAAGAAGCACCACCAAAACACUCCUGCACAUUGAACAAUCUGCUGAAGAAGGAGGGGUAAAUCCUGGCAUGGUUCAGCCAUCCCUUCUCCAAGGACCUCACCCUGCUUCCAUCGUUCCUGCAGUGCCUUAACUUGGGAGACAGUGAGUGGCAAAGCAGAAGGCUCAGUCACAGAACCACAAAGCAGGACUGAAGUCAGGUGAAGUCACACGGCGAGCAGAGCUACGGGAUAAGAGGAUUCUGCGCUCACACUGCCUGGCACGGGGCCAUGAAGGGAACCAGUUACUUAAGGACAAGGGAUUAGACCUGAAAUCCUUCCAUCUUUGUUCCAGAACCCCAAAAUCAGAACGGCCUUCCCCUCCUCCCCUCACACGAGCAGGCUGCGCUUUGGGAGUGCCAAAUCUCUGGCGUUUGGAUUUUGCUGGGUUUGUCUUGGCUCUUCAAGUGCCGGUGUGAAAGCGGGGAGCGCUUGAACAGACUCCUCACAGCCCCUGCCAGGCCACAAGAGCCCCAUUCCACCUGCCCUUGCUGUUUUUAACCUGUCAGAUCUUCAACUGAGCUGUACCUCUACAGCACCUGCACCCAAAGCACAGCAAACUUUGCUUUCCAGAACCCAGGAUUUGGCCUCUGUAUGUGGAUGAGUCAAACCACCAAAGCAUUUAGGAAACAAUCCAGCAGCCAGCCCUGAGUGGCUCCUCCUUCCUCUGAGCACAGCUGACCGUCCAUCCCCUUCCAUAUGGAUUAUGUCCAACCACCUCUGUGUACACUGCCUCUCCCAAGAAUACAAUGAGCAUCCCCGAGUCUGCCAGCCCAGGUACUGUGUCUUUCCAGCUUCUUAUUCCAAGUACCCUGACUGGGGAUAGAGAUUAGCAGGGAAUCAAAUAUAAAUGCCUUUUUGAUAAAAAAACCCCACCCAAACAAUUAAAAAACAAUGUUUGAGGAGGUUGGAAAGAACCCCCGAGGAAAGUCUGACACAGAGCACAAGGAAAUUUGAGUUUUGGGAAUAGGGAAAGGUAAGAGGUAACAGUGAACCUGCAGCUGUAAAUUCAGUGGUGCUGGGAUCCCAGGGGGCUCCACCUUAUCUCUUUGAGCCCAGAGAAGCACAGACAAAUCACAGAAGCAAACAGCAAAAGCCAAGGGGAGGAGUGAGAAGGGAGGGAAUGAGCUGCAUUUGAUUAAUUCCACAGCCAACUGGCACUCACUUGAUGGAAAUGCUAAUUUUCCCCCUGACAUACACCCACUAGUCAUUCCCCUCAUCUCCUCUAAAUGAAGCAGUCUUUUCUUAAACCACAGGUAACACAAGAAUAUCCAGGUUUCCACCCUUCCUUUUCCUCCCUGUCACACCCCCACUUACAGGACCAGCUGAACUAUUUACUGCUUGGAAAUGCUACACAGCUGCUUUUUAUUGCUGUGCUUGGUUAAGAGUCAGCCCUCACUCCAAAGGAACACUUCCUGCCCCGCUGGAAGCAGCCUGGGACAACUCCUGAAUAUCCACACCAGGUCACUGAGCGAUACCUGCAGGUGCCUUUUACACUUUGUGCUCCCAGAGCAGCUCUUGGGGCUGCCUCACACGAAAACACAGGGCAGGCUGCUCCCCAAAAUAAAGCUCUUUCUUACCAGAAACACAUGUGAGGGGCUACUGCAGAGGCAGAAAGCGUUUCCAGCAGCCAGCCUGUAAAUAAAUGUCAUCAGAAGCCCCCAAAGGGCUGGUUUAAACUGUGUGCUUAUUUAUUUACACAAGUAUCUUGCACUGUUUCAGAGAAAUGACCCAUUUGCAAUGUUGCUGUAUCCCCUGGAGAGUGCUGGGCUUCUAAUGAGAUCCAGGACAGAGUGGCUUAAAGGAUUAGGAGCUGAAGUCACCGGGAGUCUGGGGAAGGAAGAAGCCAGCACUGGAUCAAGACAGGUCCUGGGCUGUGGGGAUGGAAGAGAAGCAGCCAUGGAUGGCUGCAGCUUAAAGCACGAGGUUUCCCUAGGUCUGGGCAGGCAGAAAAGUCCCACCAGCAGGAGCAGAGGGAGCGGGCAGUGCCGUGGAGUGCCCCGAGCCGUGAGGGCUGGCGAGGCUCAUCUGUUCAGUCACUCCUCAGAAAUGAUCAGCAUCUUCCUCAGGCUGCUGCUGUGAGCCAGCACCGUGCCUCAUUCAACUCCUCAGGAUCAAUACCUGGAGAGAAGUCAGCUAUUGACCUGUUCUUUGGGCAAAACUGCACGGGAAUUACCAAUCCAUGCACGCUGCAGGAACUCGGGAGAGGUCUUCUCAAUGAACCAACCUUAAGAUACAGCUGGAAUUAUCAAUAGCCUUUCAUCCUUCAAAGCAAAGUUUGUGCUAGGAGGAAAGAAAUGAGAUGAUUUCCACGGUGUCAUCUUGCCUUUUCAGUGGGAGACUGCCAGCUCUUCCACAAAACAAGCAGAGCCCAGCAACACUUGAGUUGCUCUCCCUCUACAAUCCAAAGAAAGCUGCCACUGUAAAACUUCAACAGCUUUGGAGUUACAAGGCUUGCCUUGUUCAACCACAGGUCUCAACAUCCUUAACAGAUCUGCUUCUCCCAUCCACUCCAAACACUCCUCAUUCCUCUGAUGCGCUCCCCUCCUUCCCAAUCUUUUGCUCUGGACUAAGGAGGUGGAGGAAGAGGUUUUACACUGGUACAAACACAUCCCUGGAGACUCCUCCACUGCUCCCAGUGGCCAGGAGUGACUUGGAUGGAGGAGAAAACGUGAGCCUGGCUCUUCCUGGCACCUGGGACUGUUCUGGCCUUUGGAAGGAGCAGUGUGAGGAGCUGCUGACUUGCAGAGGAAACUCUGGAAGAACCAGUGGCCAGGAGAAGAAGACUCGGGCAGCUUUGCUUUGCAUUCCCAUUCCCAGCCUCUGGAGAGUGCAGUCAUUACAGGUGAGAUGGAGAAGCUGCACAGACAAAUCCCUGGAACCCAAGGAAUUAAUCAGAAGGACUGGUGUGAAAGCUAAACUUGGUCAAAAGCCUGCCUGGCUUUUUGCAAAACCACGGCUGUUAAUGGAAAACAACGAAACGAUCCCAGUUUAUCCCAUGAAAGGGAAGUUUCAUCAGCACCUUCUGAGGGGAAGAGAACAGCCAUAACCUCAAUUCCACAAGACAAUCCUCACUGCAAAUGUGAUGGAGCUCCUACAGAUUGUGGAUGGGAAGAGGAGAACCACGCACGGGAAAUACACCCGGAGCAGCCGUCCCUUCCCUUCCCAGCCUGAGCAGGCGACAUCCCUGCUACCAGGGACAGGGAAAAACACCCUUUAGAAAACCAAAACAAGCUCUAUCAGUGCAAGUGCACUUCUGCAGAUAACUGCUCCUGCAGCUGGGACUUCUGCUGGCACAGCUGUGUCAGUCACGGGUCACAGUCCGUCACCGUGCGCGCAGACAGAGCUGUGCCAGCAGAAGUUCGCUGUGCAGACCCGGUGGGAAGCUCCACUGACACGGAUCUGCAAGGUUUUGCCUUUUUUAUUCUGCAGCAGAGGUAAGCUCGUCCAGCAGGCUGCUGAUGGGCUGUCUCACCCCUGACACAUUAGGGUCUGGCCUUCCAGGGACGGGAGAAAACUAAACUUUGCACAGGGACACCCAUGGGCCAUUUACACUGAGUUUUAUCCUUCAGUUAAAUGCACAAACUAAAUGAAAAAGAGCCCCUGUAGGAAGAGAUAAAAGGGAAUAAAUUAAAUUGUGCUUCAGCACUCGGAGCAGCCCCCGCUUUUAAUAGUAAGAAGGGAACAAAACUGCAAGUGUUGAACAGGAUUUGUUUAGCAGACAGCAGAGCUCUGCAGAAUUUCCACUGCUCUGUGAAACCCAACAGCCACGCUCCAGCGGGGCUUUUGGCCUCCUCAGUCACCUCUGGAGGAGAUGGCAUGCCCAGGCUGCAGCUCAAACACAAGUUCUGUUUGGGUGAACCGACAGGAUCCUGCAGCUGGGUGAUGUGGAUCCUUAUUCCAGAGCAGGCAGCAGGGAGCUGUCAGCAGUGCACAUCGUCCAUCUGCUCCAGAGCAAAACUCUAACAUCAGGCUGGGAAUCCCUCCCUCGGUGCGGAGGGAACGGGGCUCUGUCCAGGACACCAGGUCGGGCUGUGGUGCUCCAGAUCUCACCAGCCUGGAUCCUGGAUGCACGUGGCCUGUGGAUGCUCCCUUGCGGGACAGGGAUGUUUGGCAGGACCACUUUCCCUAUUUUUCAC